AAGUUCAGCUCCCCUGUGAACUGGGGGCGGAGCUUGGUGUGAGAGAUGCGGGGCGCGGGGGACUGUUGGUGAAUCACUGGGUCUGUGCAUUCUGGGAAACUGGGAACGAGCGGGAUUCUCCGGCAGCAGGUUUCUUCUGCAUGAAUCUGCAAAAUGGCAAGAAGACUCAAGUCCUCCAGGCAAGGAGAUGGGCAGUGGGGCCCUGCUCCGGUCACUCCUCCUGCUCCCAUCUCCUCCCCUCUGGCCAGUGUCCGUCCAGGAAGGGGCGGGCAGGAAGACUGGAAGGUUCCUGGAGUGGGCAAGUCUCUGCCCCAAAUGUCACCUCCUCUCCCAGCCGCACUUUCUCCAAGGACAUGAGAAAAGGGCCUCCCCCGCCUCCUGCAGACCCGUCAUCCUGGGAGAGCCCUCUCUCCUCACAUGGGACCACCGCGGCUUGGUCCAGGACCCACCGUUGGCGUGGAAGCUGCGGCCCUAUCUGAGAAUGCGGCUCACGAGGAGGGGAGCUCGGACUGCAGCCAGAUCGGGCAGAACACCGAGUUCACACCCCAGAAACUCUGAUACACAGAAAGGAGACACCAAAGUGAAGGGGGGACUGCAGCCAACAGUACCUCUCUUAGCACCUCCAUGGUGCAGAAGGCGGAAGGAGCCACGAGGGAGUAGCUGUGACGCCCUGAACUUCCUGGCCCUCGGGGCGCUGACAGCCGAUCCGCAUUAAGGACACUCCAGCUGGUGAUCACAAGGAAGUGUGGUGUAAGCAGGAGUCAGUAGGGUGCAAACCGCCCUCAGCAAGGAGCCAGUCCUGGCACUCAGUGAAGAACCAAGCCCAUGGCCCUUCCUUGGAGGAGAGGCAGUACACAGAUGAUUAGCAAUGAUUUCGGAUGGG
Mirounga angustirostris (Northern elephant seal) is the source of this 883-nucleotide long non-coding RNA. RefSeq lists it as uncharacterized. The record is from RefSeq and is a predicted model, not a curated record. Lineage: Eukaryota; Metazoa; Chordata; Mammalia; Carnivora; Phocidae. The transcript has 3 exons.